RNAcentral lists this ribosomal RNA (253 nucleotides) under uncultured bacterium. RNAcentral's name for it is "partial 16S ribosomal RNA". It matches the Rfam family "Bacterial small subunit ribosomal RNA", at positions 524 to 776 of the family's 1533-position model. The record is from RNAcentral.
UACGGAGGGUGCAAGCGUUGUCCGGAUUCAUUGGGUUUAAAGGGUGCGCAGGCGGGACAUUAAGUCAGGGGUGAAAGACGGUUGCUCAACAAUCGCAGUGCCUUUGAUACUGGUGUUCUUGGGUAACCUUGAGGUAGGCGGAAUGGGUGGUGUAGCGGUGAAAUGCAUAGGUACCACCCAGAACUCCGAUUGCGAAGGCAGCCUACUGGAGGUCAACCGACGCUCAGGCACGAAAGCGUGGGGAUCAAACAGG